GAGUUAUAGGAAGCUCCUUCGUUGUUACUUAGCGGCGGACGGGUGAGUAACACGUAGGCAACCUGCCCUCAAGCUUGGGACAACUACCGGAAACGGUAGCUAAUACCGAAUACUUGUUUUCUUCGCCUGAAGAGAACUGGAAAGACGGAGCAAUCUGUCACUUGAGGAUGGGCCUGCGGCGCAUUAGCUAGUUGUGAGGUAACGGCUCACCAAGGCGACGAUCGUAGCCGACCUGAGAGGGUGAUCGGCCACAUCUGGGACUGAGACACGGCGCCAGACUCCUACGGGAGGCAGCAGUAGGGAAUCUUCCGCAAGUGGGCGAAAGCCUGACGGAGCAAUGCCGCGUGAGUGAUGAAGGUUUUCGGAUCGUAAAGCUCUGUUGCCAGGGAAGAACGCUUGGGAGAGUAACUGCUCUCAGNGUGACGGUACCUGAGAAGAAAGCCCCGGCUAACUACGUGCCAGCAGCCGCGGUAAUACGUAGGGGGCAAGCGUUGUCCGGAAUUAUUGGGCGUAAAGCGCGCGCAGGCGGUCAUUUAAGUCUGGUGUUUAAUCCCGGGGCUCAACCCCGGAUCGCACUGGAAACUGGAUGACUUGAGUGCAGAAGAGGAGAGUGGAAUUCCACGUGUAGCGGUGAAAGUGCGUAGAGAUGUGGAGGAACACCAGUGGCGAAGCGACUCUCUGGGCUGUAACUGACGCUGAGGGCGCGAAAGCGUGGGGAGCAAACAGGAUUAGAUACCCUUNGGUAGUCCACGCCGUAACGAUGAAUGCUAGUGUUUCGGGGUUUCGAUCCCUUUGUGCCCGGAGUUUCCACCAUUAGCCUCCGCUGGGGGUUCGGUCGGCCAGGAAUGACACUCCAGGGA
This 860-nucleotide ribosomal RNA is filed under the name Paenibacillus pabuli. RNAcentral describes it as "bacterial SSU rRNA". It matches the Rfam family "Bacterial small subunit ribosomal RNA", at positions 64 to 908 of the family's 1533-position model. Lineage: Bacteria; Bacillati; Bacillota; Bacilli; Caryophanales; Paenibacillaceae. The record is from RNAcentral.